AUGGUUACGGAAGCUAAAAAACUGUCGUUGAAUGAUUCCCCGGAUAAGAUUCUAUGGGCCUUUGGUAGUAAAGGGAAAUUUACUACUAAAUCCUUAUAUGAAUGGUUGGAAAGGAAUUUAUCAGGUCCUAACUAUAAGAUGGUGUGGAAAACACCUAUCCAAUUGAAAAUUAAAAUCUUCCUUUGGCAGCUGUUUCAAAAUGCAGUUCUUACUCGUGAUAACAUGCGCAUUAGGAACUGGCCUGGAAAUCCCACGUGCUCCUUCUGUGCUGACAUUGAAACAACAAAUCAUUUAUUCUUUACCUGUUCGCUUGCUCGUUUGGUAUGGGGAGUGUUGGGCAUGACGGCUGGGUCAUCCUGUUGUCCUCGUUCUCUUUGGCAAAGCUUCGCUUGGCUGUAUAAUCCGGGAGGGAAACAUUUCUACAUGAUGAUUAUUGCUGCAAUAUGCUGGGGGGUUUGGAUCCUCCGCAAUAAAGUUACAUUUGAUAAUCAUAUUGUUCGUUCCCUUUGGAGGCUGUUUUUGUUGGGGAACGUAGUAAUUUCAAAAAUUUUCCUACGCACACGCAAGAUCAUGGUGAUGCAUAGCCACGAGAGGGGAGAGUGUGAUCUACGUACCCUUGUAGACCGACAGCGGAAGCGUUAG
RNAcentral lists this ribosomal RNA (642 nucleotides) under Triticum aestivum (bread wheat). RNAcentral's name for it is "partial small subunit ribosomal RNA". Lineage: Eukaryota; Viridiplantae; Streptophyta; Magnoliopsida; Poales; Poaceae. The record is from RNAcentral.